AGACGAUAGAAACAUGGCUAGAAGUAGAUCCAGGCAUUGUGAAUUCCCAUGCCAGUCUGUGAAGCCUGACUCAAACAGCCGUGACCAGGCCUCCCUGUGUGGCCCAGCCUCGCUGGCAUUCUGCUGAAUAAAAUCAUCUCCACGUCGCUGCACACAGGAUGAACUGCAGUGUCAGCAGGUCUCCAUGACACCGCCUGACUGAAACCCGCAUCUCUCCCACACGCCCCUCCUCACCGGCCCUGACAGCGCAGACAGGGCUUGCUGUGUUCCUGACUUCCUCUCAUUUUCAGGUCCUCUGCACUCACUCCCACACUCCCCCUCUGCACCCCAGAUGGAGGCUGAAAGGCUCACCCCAGAGGCCGAGAGAGCAGGAAUUCCAGGCCCUGGGUUUUCCAUGACUGACUCGGGGCAAAGGCAUGGCCUUUACUCAGAAACCCGCAGCCAGAGUCUGGAACCAGGCUAGCCAGAUGUGGUACAAUGCUCCCUUGUGAAACUGGACAGAGAUAAGGAGCCCCAGAUCCCCGUC
Fukomys damarensis (Damara mole-rat) is the source of this 526-nucleotide long non-coding RNA. RefSeq lists it as uncharacterized. NCBI's taxonomy places the organism in Eukaryota, Metazoa, Chordata, Mammalia, Rodentia, Bathyergidae. The record is from RefSeq and is a predicted model, not a curated record. The transcript has 3 exons.